Molecule: long non-coding RNA, 707 nt
Organism: Poeciliopsis prolifica (blackstripe livebearer)
Lineage: Eukaryota; Metazoa; Chordata; Actinopteri; Cyprinodontiformes; Poeciliidae
Exons: 5
Source: RefSeq, a predicted model, not a curated record
CUUUAUUCGUAUCAGUUAAUGGACGUUUUGAAGUUCGUCACCGAGGACCGAAUAAAAAUAUGGAAGUUAUCGUUUUUUGCGGUCAUAGGCUGUUGCUCAUCUUUUGCAUAAGGUAAGCUGGAUAUAAGCAAUUGCACUUCACCAAAGUCCCACUGUGGUCUCCGCUUGAGAAUUGUGAUGAUCUUUUCCAAAUAUGACCACCUGAUUAUCAAUAAACUCCACAAGGAAGUGUCGUCUUUGGGCCUUCUCUAUCGAGCACAGAGUGAAUUCAGUGGACAGGACAAACAGCAGCACUUAAAGGCAAAUUAAAACUCAAUGUCAUCCUUCAGCAGGACAUUAUCUCUGAAUGAAUCAUCCCCAGAGUGCUGUGAGGGAAACGUGUUAUUUAUUAUGGUCCUUCUGAAGAACUUUUUUCUACUUUGUGAGCUGAAUUUGCUGAAAUCUGCUGGAGCUCGUCAAAGUUUCUUGCAAAACUACGAAAUAAUUUAAACAUCUAAUUUGUCUGUGCUUUGUUUGUGUCUUUAAAUCUAAAUAUCAUAAUUUAUCACUGUAACUUUUGGGAUGUUUUAUUGUCCAGUUAAAUUUGUUAUUGUGACUGACCUAAUCAUGCUCAAAACUACCAAGAGAGAUGUACAAACAGAUUACUAGUUCUGUGAAACAUUAUAUAUUUUUUAGAAACCAUAACUGACUAAGAAUAAUUUUUGACA